This is an RNA transcript of Telopea speciosissima, 1763 nucleotides long. It is a transcript of the gene named beta-1,2-xylosyltransferase-like, with no coding region annotated. The transcript is spliced from 5 exons. Lineage: Eukaryota; Viridiplantae; Streptophyta; Magnoliopsida; Proteales; Proteaceae. The record is from RefSeq and is a predicted model, not a curated record.
AAGGAAGGUGUGGGUGAGCGAAAAGGGCGGAAAAAGAAAUAAUGAACCGAAGAAGGGUGUUGCUGCUCAAAAUUCUUCUCUUCCUCUUCGUUCUCAACUUAUUCUCUCUGUACUGGUACUUUCACUUCUCUUCUCACCCUAAAUCCCAAACACCCUUUGUACAGGAGACCCAGAAUCAAAUACUGGAGAAAGAGAAUCGGCAGAAGCAGCAACAACAACAACAACAACUCCCCGUCUCGGUCACCUUCCAUGGAAAACCAUGGCCCAUUCUCCCCUCUUACCUUCCAUGGGAUCUAAACCCUAACGUCACUCCUAAAUCAUGCGAAGGAUAUUUUGGCAACGGCUUCAAUCGCCGUAUCGAUCUUCUACUUUCCCCUUCUGAGAUUCAUCCAAAAUCUGACUCCAAUUAUGGUGGCAGUGGUUGGUUUCGGUGCUUUUAUAGUGAAACACUGGGGAGCUCCAUAUGCGAAGGGGGGAGACUGCGGAUGAACCCGGAUAGGAUACGAAUGUCUGUUGGAGGGGAGAAGCUGGAAUCUGUGAUGGGGCGACAGGAAGAGGAGGAACUCCCUUCCUUCGAUUCGGGUGCUUUCGAGAUCGAGUUUGACCAAGGGCUCAGUCAGGGCGGGAACUUGAGCAGGAACGGGAGGAAGCUCGUGAACAAGGAGUUCCUUGAUCAGUUUGUACCGCGGGGUGCCAUCCAUAUGCAUACAAUGCGGGCUUUAGUUGAUUCAAUUCAAUUGCUGGAUCCAGAUAAGUUUAAGUGCUCCCAGUGGGUUGAGGAGCCGACGCUUUUAGUCACACGUUUCGAGUAUGCAAACCUUUUUCACACGGUGACAGACUGGUACAGUGCAUAUGUGGCUUCCAGAGUUACUGGCUUGCCUAAUCGACCUCAUGUGGUUUUUUUGGAUGGCCACUGUAAGGCACCUCUGGAAGAAACUUGGGAAGCCCUUUUUUCAAGCCUGAAAUAUGCUAAAAGCUUCAGUGGUCCAAUUUGUUUCCGCCAUGCCAUUCUUUCACCAUUGGGUUAUGAGACAACUCUUUUUAAGGGUUUGACUGAAGAUAUUAACUGUCAGGGAGCAACUGCACAUGAUCUCUGGCAAAAUCCUAAUGACCAAAGGACUGCACGAUUAUCUGAGUUCGGAGAGUUGAUACGAGCAGCUUUUGGUUUUCCUGUCAACAGAAACCAGCAACCAAAACUGGUCUCAGGUCAUAACAUCUUAUUUGUGCGUCGUGAGGACUAUUUAGCUCACCCGCGUCAUGGUGGGAAAGUGGAAUCAAGGCUUAGCAAUGAACAGGAAGUCUUCGAUGCUCUGAAGAUUUGGGCGAUUAAUCAUUCAAAAUGCAAAGUGAACCUUAUCAAUGGACUAUUUGCUCACAUGUCCAUGAAAGAACAAGUCCGUGCCAUUCAGGAUGCUUCGGUCAUAAUUGGAGCACAUGGGGCAGGUCUCACUCACGUUAUUUCCGCAACACCAAAUACAGUAAUUCUUGAGAUAAUAAGCAGCCAGUACAGGCGUCCACAUUUCGCAUUGAUCUCACAGUGGAGGGGGCUGGAAUAUCAUGCCAUUAAUCUGGCUGGAUCAUAUGCAGAGCCAGAAGUUGUUACCAAGAAGGUUAAUGACAUAAUGAGAAGUCUUGGCUGCUAAUACAUGGUUUUGUGGUUUUGGAUCCAUCCCUCGUUAUUUUGUGCAAUUCAAAGAUCCGACGAGACCUGCAGUGGCUAUACAAGUUACAGACCUCAUACAAGAUGCAUUAAGGAGUUCACU